RNAcentral lists this ribosomal RNA (134 nucleotides) under uncultured eukaryote. RNAcentral's name for it is "partial 18S ribosomal RNA". It matches the Rfam family "Eukaryotic small subunit ribosomal RNA", at positions 1299 to 1458 of the family's 1831-position model. The record is from RNAcentral.
UGGUGGAGUGAUUUGUCUGGUUAAUUCCGAUAACGAACGAGACUCUAUCUUGCUAACUAGUCGCAACUUUAUUCUGAUUGUAGAGCUUCUUAGAAGGACAGGGGCUUCCAAGCCCACGAGAUUGAGCAAUAACA